UACGAAGGGGGCUAGCGUUGUUCGGAAUUACUGGGCGUAAAGCGCGCGCAGGCGGUCUUCCAAGUCAGUGGUGAAAGCCCGGAGCUCAACUCCGGAAUUGCCAUUGAAACUGUUAGACUUGAGGAUGAGAGAGGUGAGUGGAAUUCCCAGUGUAGAGGUGAAAUUCGUAGAUAUUCGCAAGAACACCAGUGGCGAAGGCGGCUCACUGGCCCGUUACUGACGCUGAGGCACGAAAGCGUGGGGAGCAAACAGG
This 253-nucleotide ribosomal RNA is filed under the name uncultured bacterium. Its description in RNAcentral is "partial 16S ribosomal RNA". It matches the Rfam family "Bacterial small subunit ribosomal RNA", at positions 524 to 776 of the family's 1533-position model. The record is from RNAcentral.